Molecule: long non-coding RNA, 792 nt
Organism: Danaus plexippus (monarch butterfly)
Lineage: Eukaryota; Metazoa; Arthropoda; Insecta; Lepidoptera; Nymphalidae
Exons: 2
Source: RefSeq, a predicted model, not a curated record
ACAGUUAAAUAUAGCUUAUCUCAAAUGUAUAAAUACUGUUGGAAGCUCGAACAUGAUUUGGCAAAUUGACAACAACAGUAAAAAAAUAGAAACGAAAUACUCACUGGAAACCGUAAGAUCAAAUUAUUAACUUCCUGAACGGCUACUGUUGAAAUUUCACCAACUUUAAUCUAACGAACAUGGAAAUCCUGAGCCAGAGCCAGUACAUACGUUGGCGGGAGGCGUCUAGCGCGGUGGGCGCGUGCGCCGCCUGACGCCUACUGCCAUCUGCCUUACUGCCGUCAUGUAUUUUGGUCGCGACCCCAAUAUCGGCCGUCCCGUCUACAAUUUGUCUUUACUAAAUAGCUACAACAAUGCAUAUUUAGCUCGAAAUUCUUUUUUAUUAUAUUUAUCAUACAUUGAUCUGUACUUUAAAAGCACAUUUCAUUUUCUAAUAAUGACUUUAUCUAUGUAAUCGUAAAUUUGCCUUUCUAUACAAAUAAAAUAGGUGUAGACGGUUGGUGCAAUAUGUUUUUUAUAUUUUUUAAAUAAUAAAAAAAAUAUAUAUUUAUAAACAUACACGAUAGUAAAAUAGUUUCAGUCUAAAAUAUAUAUUUUAUAAGCACAACAUAUAUUCUAUAACUUUAUUGGCUCUAUUCCAAACAAUAAGAAUUUUGCACAAUAAGACACAAGAUUCUUAAAUAUGUUAAUUGUGGAAACGAUUGUUUAUUCUCUCGAUAUGCAUGCGACACGCUUAACUCUUUAUGUAUUGUAAUAUGCAAAUAUUUAUUGAAUAAAUAAUAAGAAAACUAA